UACAGAGGGUGCGAGCGUUAAUCGGAAUUACUGGGCGUAAAGCGUGCGUAGACGGUUAUCUAAGUCGGUUGUGAAAUCCCUGGGCUUAACCUGGGAACUGCAGUCGAUACUGAUGGACUAGAGUACGGUAGAGGGUGGCGGAACUCCGGGUGUAGCGGUGAAAUGCGUAGAUAUCCGGAAGAACACCGAUGGCGAAGGCAACCACCUGGGCCUGUACUGACGCUGAGGUACGAAAGCGUGGGGAGCGAACAGG
Molecule: ribosomal RNA, 253 nt
Filed under: uncultured bacterium
Lineage: Bacteria
Description: partial 16S ribosomal RNA
Rfam family: Bacterial small subunit ribosomal RNA
Source: RNAcentral